GGUAUUUUAAUAGUUAAUUCCUCACAUUUUGCUUAGUUAAUUCCUUAACGAAUCGAUUUUUAACUCAAUUUCUAUUUUCUUAGGUACAUUGGAGUAAAUGAUGGUGAAAUGAGCAUUAGGUCCACACUUACCUAUAAAUGGUGGAGAAAAAUGGAAAUGUACUAAAAUGUCAAUUUUACACAUUUUCCUACUCCGGCUAGGAGAAACCAAGCCAAGCAAGGAAGAAGGAGCGGCCGCCUAACCAAAUGAACUCUAAAUGAGCUGAAACUUUCCAGAUCCAUUCUAGACAUCCUAAGGAUCAUUUCUUAUGAAGAGUGCCAGAGCUAGUUUUGAGUGGAAGGCCUUCAAACAGUCAGCCCAAUUUCCUGCAGAAGCAAAACUGGAAAACUGGACCCGUAAGGAGUCCAGCAGAGAUUCUGGCCCAAAGGCAUGGAAAUAAAUUCUGAAAUUUUACCAAAAUGAUCUACACUCAUGGUAGAUCAUUUCAUAUGAAGAAGUCACGAGCCAAAUCUGAAGUCCUGUUGGAGAAAUAAUUGAAGGAAUAAAGGGGCAGAAACUGAUCUAAAAACAGCUCAACACCACAUGUUCAAGUUUCCUACCCACAUGAAGAAAGCUAGAUGCUUUUCUCUUUUUCCUUGGAUAUAUUUUUCUGCUCCAAUAGAUCAUCAUCACUUCCAUACUUCUGCACCUUCAUGCCUUGCUUUCAUUUCAUCAUUACUCCAUCUUUUCCAUAUUUUACAAACCACUUUCAUUAUUUUUCUUCCAUUUAUCAUUUCACUCUUCUUUUUCUUCCCUAUAUAAACACCUUCUCCUCUCACUCUAACCACAUUCCUUCAUCCAUUCCAUCUUCUUUGUCUCUCCAUUUCCUUUCCAUUUUCCUUUCCAACAUCCUCUAGGGCAAGCCACGAAGUUCAAGCAAGGCCAAGGAAGAGAAGAACCAAGCCGUGAGCAUCAUCAUCCAUCCUCCACCUCUGAAGCUUGCUUUCGAGUCUCAAAGGAUUCAACGUUAUUCACCCAUCUUCAUCUUCCAUCCACGGUGUGUACCCUCAAUCCCCGGAAUAGAACGAUCCCUACUUGCUUAUACUACUAAUGAUAUUUAUAGGGUUAAAUUAUGCGCUUGCUUUGAGCGUAUCAAGCCACGGAGUUCAAGCAAGGCCGAAGGGAGAAGAAGGAGCCGUGACUAUUCCUCCACCAUCCACCAUUGAAGACUUGCUUUCAAGCUUCAAGGAUCACAACGAAAAUCAUCCAUCCUCAUCUUCCAUCCACGGUGUAAUUCGACCUCUACUUUGUAACCUUUGUUUGAAUUUCGUUGGUUUGCUUUAGUUGACAUUCAUGAUUGAACAAAGUUAUUAUUUCUGGAAUUUUUAUGAUUAAAUGAGAAUUUUCAGAUUCUAUUAUUGUAA
Long non-coding RNA from Rosa rugosa (rugosa rose), 1403 nucleotides. RefSeq lists it as uncharacterized. Lineage: Eukaryota; Viridiplantae; Streptophyta; Magnoliopsida; Rosales; Rosaceae. The record is from RefSeq and is a predicted model, not a curated record. The transcript has 2 exons.